RNAcentral lists this ribosomal RNA (381 nucleotides) under Triticum aestivum (bread wheat). RNAcentral's name for it is "partial small subunit ribosomal RNA". Lineage: Eukaryota; Viridiplantae; Streptophyta; Magnoliopsida; Poales; Poaceae. The record is from RNAcentral.
AUGCCCAAUGGGGCACAAGCUUCGACUGAGGAGGGCGAGGCGAGCGGAGGCGAAAGCCAGGAAGAGGAGGAAUGGGACUCGGAUGUUGCAGAGGACGAUGACGAUGAUGAUGAUGAUGCCGGUGAUGAAGACGACGUCGAGGACGAGGAAGAGGAGGAGGAGGAGGAGGUCGUGCCACCGCGCUCGAAAAGGCGGUCGAAGCUCGUCCACGACCCUUCGACUGGACGUGGCAAGGGGGUUGCGACGCAGUCGACCAAGCGCCCUAGGACCACCUCUCCAGCGCCGACUGAAAAGGCGCCGAAGCAGCCCAGGGCGGCCUCGUCGAAGCCGAUCAAACUCUUGCCGAAGAUGAAGGUGUCCAUCCCUACCAUAUCAGGGUAA